GUGUCCAGGGAUGGGAAUCGAACCCACAGUGUUCCGCUUACCGGGCAGAUGCCAUGUCCACUAGGGCAAAA
Cordylochernes scorpioides is the source of this 71-nucleotide non-coding RNA. NCBI's taxonomy places the organism in Eukaryota, Metazoa, Arthropoda, Arachnida, Pseudoscorpiones, Chernetidae. The record is from the annotation of a GenBank genome assembly.